RNAcentral lists this ribosomal RNA (748 nucleotides) under uncultured Glomeromycotina. RNAcentral's name for it is "SSU rRNA". It matches the Rfam family "Eukaryotic small subunit ribosomal RNA", at positions 338 to 1092 of the family's 1831-position model. The record is from RNAcentral. Lineage: Eukaryota; Fungi; Glomeromycota.
GGCCUACCAUGGUGGUAACGGGUAACGGGGUGUUAGGGCACGACACCGGAGAGGGAGCCUGAGAAACGGCUACCACAUCCAAGGAUGGCAGCAGGCGCGCAAAUUACCCAAUCCCGACACGGGGAGGUAGUGACAAUAAAUAACGAUACAGGGUUCUUUUGGAUCUUGUAAUUGGAAUGAGUACAAUUUAAAUCUCUUAACGAGGAACAAUUGGAGGGCAAGUCUGGUGCCAGCAGCCGCGGUAAUUCCAGCUCCAAUAGCGUAUAUUAAAGUUGUUGCAGUUAAAAAGCUCGUAGUUGAAUUUCGGGAUCAAUAUGUUGGUCGUGCCUUGGUACGUACUAGUUUAUUGGUUUCUCCCUUCUGACGAACCAUGAUGUCAUUAAUUUGGUGUCAUGUGGAACCAGAACUGUUACUUUGAAAAAAUUAGAGUGUUUAAAGCAGGCUCACGCUUGAAUACAUUAGCAUGGAAUAAUGAAAUAGGACGUUUGAUUCUAUUUUGUUGGUUUCUAGGAUUGACGUAAUGAUUAAUAGGGAUAGUUGGGGGCAUUAGUAUUCAAUUGUCAGAGGUGAAAUUCUUGGAUUUAUUGAAGACUAACUACUGCGAAAGCAUUUGCCAAGGAUGUUUUCAUUAAUCAAGAACGAAAGUUAGGGGAUCGAAGACGAUCAGAUACCGUCGUAGUCUUAACCAUAAACUAUGCCGACUAGGGAUCGGAUGAUGUUAAUUUAAUGACUCAUUCGGCGCCUUACG